AUCCACCCCCACCCCUCCUCCGCCAGCCGCGUCCUCCCGGGCUCGGUGAGGAACUGUUCCUGGAGGAGCCGCGGGACACUGAAACCAGCCAAUGGAAAGCGGCGAGACGCGGAGAUUGGCACUGUAGAUGGGAAGUGGGUUCCUGGCUCAUCUGUUGAUGCAGUGCCAGAAGUGAGCUGCAGAACAGGAGUUACUGGAGAUGACAGUGACCAUGAGUCCUGAAGGAGGAAUAUUGAUCUCAGCGUUACUUUGACCAUUAAUGAAUUAUGAUGGCAAUAAGCAGAGCCGCACACCUUCAGCCUCCUGGGAGCUUAAUCUUCUGCUACAGCGUUUGCAUUUCAACCUACAAAGAAAGCUCCAAAGAAAGACGAGCUUGUGAACUGACUGAACUGCAAGCAGAAGAAUCCUCUUUGUACUCCUUGAUGUCAAGAAUGUGUUUACACUGUGGCCUAAUGCUCUGAACCUUUGUGUGUGAGUUCAGGGAUUCAGAACAUCUGAGGGCCACCAUGUAGUGGCGUGUGACAGGUCUGAAGCUCCCCAGUAGAAGCACUUGGGCUAAACGUGCCAUAAGACUUCAGUCAACACCAGCCCCCAAAGUCACUGAACUCCGUGACAUCAUGCCCAGGCAGGAAGAGUCAAUAGGCCUCUGGCGCGUCCUCCUCCCCUCCUUCACUCCCCACUG
Molecule: non-coding RNA, 682 nt
Organism: Kogia breviceps (pygmy sperm whale)
Lineage: Eukaryota; Metazoa; Chordata; Mammalia; Artiodactyla; Physeteridae
Source: RefSeq, a predicted model, not a curated record